Molecule: ribosomal RNA, 1464 nt
Filed under: Saccharum spontaneum (wild sugarcane)
Lineage: Eukaryota; Viridiplantae; Streptophyta; Magnoliopsida; Poales; Poaceae
Description: bacterial SSU rRNA
Rfam family: Bacterial small subunit ribosomal RNA
Source: RNAcentral
AGAGUUCGAUCCUGGCUCAGGAUGAACGCUUGGCGGCAUGCUUAACACAGCAAGUCGAAACGUGAAGUGGUGUUUCCCCCAGUGGCGAACGGGUGAGUAAAGCGUAAGAACCUGCCCUUGGGAGGGGAACACACGAACGGUUGCUAAUACCCCGUGGCUGAGGAGCAAAAGGAGAAAUCCGCCCAAGAGGGGCUCCUCCUCGCCUCUGAUUAGCUAUUGGUUAGGCAAUAUCUUACCAAGGCGAUGAUCAGUAAGCUGGUCCCGAGAGUAUAUUCCAGCCACACUGGGACUGAGACACGGCCCAGACUCCUACGGGAGGCAAGAGUUGGGAAUUUUCCGCAAUGGCGCAAGCCUGGCGAGCAAUGCCGCGUGGAGGUGGAAGGCCUACGGGUCGUCAACUUCUUUUCUCUCGGAAAGAAACAAUGACGGUAUCUAGGAAAGCAUCGGCCUACCGCUGUGCCAGCAGCCGCGGUAAGACAGAGGAUUCAAGCGUUAUCCGAAUGAUUGGCGAAAUCGUCUGUAGGUGGCUUUCAAGUCCGCCGUCAAAUCCCAGGGCUCAACCUGGACAGGCGGUGGAACUACACCUGGAGUACGGUAGGGGCAGAGGAUUUCCGGUGAGCGGUGGAAAUGCAUGAGAUCGGAAAGACACCAACGGCGAAAGCACUCUGCUGGGCCCGACACUGACACUGAGAGACGAAAGCUAGUGGAGUCAAAUGGGAUUAGAGACCCCAUAGUCCUAGCCGUAAACGAUGGAUACUAGGUGCUGUGCGACUCGACCCGUGCAGUGCUGUAGCUAACGCGUUAAUAUCCCGCCUGGGGAGUACGUUCGCAAGAUGAAACUCAAAGGAAUUGACGGGGGCCGCACAAGCGGUGGAGCAUGGUGGUUUAAUUCGAUGCAAGCGAAAGAACCUUACCAGGGCUUGACAUGCCGCGAAUCCUCUGAAAGAGAGGGGUGGCCCUGUGACGCGGAACCACAUGUGGUGCAUGGCUUGUGCGUCAGCUCGUGCCCGUAAGGGUUGUGUUAAGUCUCGCAAACGAGCGCAACCCUCGUGGUUUUAGUUUGCCACUAUGAGUUUGGACCCUGAACAGACCGCCGGUGUAAGAACCGGAGAAGGAGAGGAUGCGGCCCCAGCAUCAUGCCCCUUAUCCCUGGGCGACACACGUGCUAAAUGGGCGGGACAAAGGGUCGCGGUCUCGCGAGGGUUGAGCUAACUCCAAAAACCCUCCUCAUUUCGGAUGCAGGCUGCAACUCGCCUUCAUGAAGCAGGAACGCUAGUAUGGCGGCCGGUCAGUCCAUACGUGCUGGUGAUCCGUUCCCGGGCCUGUACUCACCGCCCGUCACCCAUAGGAAAAAAGCCUGCCAGGUUUGAAGUCCUUACCUUUAACCGUAAGGAGGGUGGAUGCCUAACGCUAGCUUCACUGAUGGAAGUCGUACAAGGUAGCCGUUACUGGAAGGUGCGGCUG